Long non-coding RNA from Oreochromis aureus, 1706 nucleotides. NCBI's taxonomy places the organism in Eukaryota, Metazoa, Chordata, Actinopteri, Cichliformes, Cichlidae. The record is from Ensembl.
CACUCUUGCUUCCCACGUAGUUCGACAGGAAAAACAUUCCUGAAAAACUAAGGCUUAAAGCUUAAGAACACACACACAGCUGCUACAGGCAGCUCAGGCUUGUUUGCUGAGCUAAGUUAGCUCCUACUGUCUCAGCUGCAACAUGUUACAUUUCAAAGCACAAAAUAAACAAACAAACCAAUAAACACAAAUCCCAACAAAUCAUGAAAUUGUAUCUUGAUGGAAACAAUGUCCGACACCAUCCAACCUCCACUUAUUACAACAGAAAUAAACACAAUAGGAUUUUAAUACAAAGAUGAACCAUAUUAUCAGUCUUCCAGUGCUGACAUUAAACCAAGAGCAUGUCAUUUUUUAAUAUAACUGCUGUUGAUCUGGAUGCUGGCAGUUCUCUAAAUGUUGUCAAAAUGUUCUGAGUUGGAUUUUGUUGCUGACGUUGUUCGUGAGUCUUGAGUUUUGUUGAAAUAAUCUUUUUAUGGACCUGAAACAAAAUCAGAACAAAUACGACUUCAAAAGUGAAAAACAAAGAAAUAAUGGUGCCAAAGAUGUGAUGAUGCUUUCUGACCUUUUACACUUUCACUCUUUAAUCACACAGAACUGAUCUCAUCAGGGAAACUUACACUUUCUCACAUUUUAGCUGCAUGUGUUUGAAAUCUAAAAGGCUCAUUAUUUUAUUCAGACACCACAACAGCAACAGAACGUAACAAAAGUAAAUCAUAUAAAAAGUGAUUCAGCUCAUCAGCUCCACAAAACUCUGAAAGUUUAACAAGGAUGUAACACAUUUUACUGCACAUGCAUGCAUGUCACUGUGAUGAAUAAAGCGAAGUUUAAUAAAUGAAAUGUAUCUUUUCUGUUGAUGAUGAUUAAAAAUAAUUACUCUCAACCUAAUGUGGCAAAACAGAAGAUAUCAAAGUGAUUUCCUUUUUCAUACACCUGCUUCAAUAUGUGUAUUGUAUUCAUGGUGUGAUUUUAAGGUGUAAUAAUGUGUUUUAAGACUCUUGCUGCACUGUUUUCUUUUAGGUCUCAUGGCAGAGGACCCAACAGCGACAUAUUAUCGACUGAAAAACAGCUCAGUGUGUCUGAAUGUCAGGAAACCGCCACCAUAUAAACGUGGUGAAUGGAAAUUUAACACAAUAAUUAUUGCUGAUGAUACAGAAAUCAAUCCAAUAUACAAAGACAGAGUGGUUUAUAGUGCUGGAAACCUCUCCUUGUGUAUUAAUAACCUGGCUGAUACAGACACUGGCAUAUAUGAAGUCUCAUACCGCCAAAACUUUAUUACAAUGUCAGAGAAACAUCAAGUCAUUGUUCAAGAUGUGGUUCCCACACCUGUCAUUAUAAUGUCAAAGCUUGGCUCCAACCAGUCUGCUGGACUCUGCAGUAUCACAGUAAACUGCUCCAUCCAGGAUUAUUGGCUUUGGUCUGUUUGUGAUGAAGACGGCUGCAGAACAUCCCAGUGUUAGGGGAAUUUAAACGGGUGGAUUUAGUGGCAGAAACACACACGGCCACAGGAUAGCGGUGAAGCAGAUUUAUUUACAGCGAUAGGGGAAUAUUUACAAGGGAAGGGGCUAUACAGUGGCCAGGAAAAUGUGCGAGGAGACAGAGCCGAGGGGAUGAAAUGGAGCCGAGGUAUGCUGGAGGAUAGAUGGCGCACCGGAGCUACUUGAAACACCGAAAUACAGGUAUGACAGUGGUCACAAGCCGGCGCGAGG